This is a long non-coding RNA of Gekko japonicus, 505 nucleotides long. RefSeq lists it as uncharacterized. Lineage: Eukaryota; Metazoa; Chordata; Lepidosauria; Squamata; Gekkonidae. The transcript is spliced from 5 exons. The record is from RefSeq and is a predicted model, not a curated record.
GCAGGGGUGACCGUCAGCAGCGUGAACAUGGAUGCGGGAACCUUUUGCGUCACUGCACCUCUUUGGAUGCUUUCACCUGGAGCAUCUUGGCUGUUCUUGCUCUGGAGUUGGCCAAGCAGGUCCGAUGGCUAAAUUCUUUGCACCCAUGUGGAAAACGUGCCAGACUUUGCCAGUUGGAGGGUCACCUUGCGGUGUUGCCCCUGCAUCAGCACUCGGUCCCUCCUGCAGCUGCAGCUGCACACUUCAGCAGCGGGAAGAAGCCACACUUCUUUCUGGGAGCAGACACUGAGCGUGCCCCAGAGAAUCAGUCUCCUAGCAAAGCCUCACAGUCCGAAGAAGACUUUGUGCCAUCAGAAGGAGGAGACUCCCUGUCCAGCCCCAGCCCCGAACCAGCCUCAGUCUCGCAGCAUUCACAGGGCAGCCUAGAGCAGCAGAAGUCCUUUAACGAAGCCGCUUCUCAAGUGCAAGAGGCGUUCCACGCCAGCAUCUCCAUGGCAUUCAACAU